This 378-nucleotide unclassified non-coding RNA is filed under the name Paenibacillus amylolyticus. RNAcentral's name for it is "contains 16S-23S intergenic spacer region". The record is from RNAcentral. Lineage: Bacteria; Bacillati; Bacillota; Bacilli; Caryophanales; Paenibacillaceae.
UCCGGUUUGUCACCGGCAGUCUAUCUAGAGUGCCCACCCGAAGUGCUGGCAACUAAAUAUAAGGGUUGCGCUCGUUGCGGGACUUAACCCAACAUCUCACGACACGAGCUGACGACAACCAUGCACCACCUGUCUUGAAUGUUCCGAAGAAAAGGUACAUCUCUGCACCGGUCAUUCAGAUGUCAAGACCUGGUAAGGUUCUUCGCGUUGCUUCGAAUUAAACCACAUACUCCACUGCUUGUGCGGGUCCCCGUCAAUUCCUUUGAGUUUCAGUCUUGCGACCGUACUCCCCAGGCGGAGUGCUUAAUGUGUUAACUUCGGCACCAAGGGUAUCGAAACCCCUAACACCUAGCACUCAUCGUUUACGGCGUGGACUAC